ACGGAGAGUUUGAUCCUGGCUCAGGAUGAACGCUGGCGGCGUGCUUAACACAUGCAAGUCGAACGAACCUUCGGGUGAGUGGCGGACGGGUGAGUAACGCGUGGGAAUCUGCCCUCAGGAGGGGGAUAACGGCUGGAAACGGCCGCUAAUACCCCAUAUGCCGAGAGGUGAAAUGAAUUUCGCCUGAGGAUGAGCCCGCGUCUGAUUAGCUAGUUGGUGAGGUAAGAGCUCACCAAGGCAUCGAUCAGUAGCUGGUCUGAGAGGAUGAUCAGCCACACUGGGACUGAGACACGGCCCAGACUCCUACGGGAGGCAGCAGUGGGGAAUUUUCCGCAAUGGGCGAAAGCCUGACGGAGCAACGCCGCGUGAGGGAUGAAGGCCUCUGGGCUGUAAACCUCUUUUCUCAAGGAAGAAGAUCUGACGGUACUUGAGGAAUAAGCCACGGCUAAUUCCGUGCCAGCAGCCGCGGUAAUACGGGAGUGGCAAGCGUUAUCCGGAAUUAUUGGGCGUAAAGCGUCCGCAGGCGGCCCUUCAAGUCUGCUGUUAAAACGUGGAGCUUAACUCCAUCAUGGCAGUGGAAACUGUUGGGCUCGAGUGUGGUAGGGGCAGAGGGAAUUCCCGGUGUAGCGGUGAAAUGCGUAGAUAUCGGGAAGAACACCAGUGGCGAAGGCGCUCUGCUGGGCCAUAACUGACGCUCAUGGACGAAAGCCAGGGGAGCGAAAGGGAUUAGAUACCCCUGUAGUCCUGGCCGUAAACGAUGAACACUAGGUGUCGGGGGAAUCGACCCCCUCGGUGUCGUAGCCAACGCGUUAAGUGUUCCGCCUGGGGAGUACGCACGCAAGUGUGAAACUCAAAGGAAUUGACGGGGGCCCGCACAAGCGGUGGAGUAUGUGGUUUAAUUCGAUGCAACGCGAAGAACCUUACCAGGGUUUGACAUCCUGCGAACCUCUUGGAAACGAGAGGGUGCCUUCGGGAGCGCAGUGACAGGUGGUGCAUGGCUGUCGUCAGCUCGUGUCGUGAGAUGUUGGGUUAAGUCCCGCAACGAGCGCAACCCACGUCUUUAGUUGCCAGCAUUUAGUUGGGCACUCUAGAGAGACCGCCGGUGAUAAACCGGAGGAAGGUGUGGAUGACGUCAAGUCAUCAUGCCCCUUACAUCCUGGGCUACACACGUACUACAAUGCUACGGACAAAGAGCAGCAAGUUCGCGAGGACAAGCAAAUCUCAUAAACCGUGGCUCAGUUCAGAUCGUAGGCUGCAACUCGCCUACGUGAAGGAGGAAUCGCUAGUAAUCGCAGGUCAGCAUACUGCGGUGAAUACGUUCCCGGGCCUUGUACACACCGCCCGUCACACCAUGGAAGUUGGCCACGCCCGAAGCCGUUACUCCAACCCUUGUGGAGGAGGACGUCGAAGGUGGGGCUGAUGACUGGGGUGAAGUCGUAACAAGGUAGCCGUACCGGAAGGUGCGGCUGGAUCACCUCCU
This 1480-nucleotide ribosomal RNA is filed under the name Synechococcus sp. 1002. RNAcentral's name for it is "bacterial SSU rRNA". It matches the Rfam family "Bacterial small subunit ribosomal RNA". Lineage: Bacteria; Bacillati; Cyanobacteriota; Cyanophyceae; Synechococcales; Synechococcaceae. The record is from RNAcentral.